CAAAUUUUCACACGGUUCCGUUCGAAGUAUACAGAGGAAGUGAAAUGAUGCUGCGUUCAGAACAACUGGGAAAUCGAAAAAACACGAGGUUAAAUCAUGGCAUCAGUGAUCUUUUGGUCGGAAAGUCUGAGCUCUAGGGAGAGACCUGAGUUCCCGAAAUGCAUGACCAUUCAAAUCGAUUUUUCCUAGUCGGAGAGAAGUAGGAAAUAUGAGAUUUCCGAGUUUCCAGUUGUUUUGAACGCGACAUGAGACUUUGCGUUAUUGAACUUUGACAAAACAAACAAAAAUAGUUGUAAAUGAAAUAUAUAGCUAUUUACUAAACAGGUGGACAAAUUGCCUGAUUGAACUGAUGAGAAAGUAAUAAUCAUUUCAACGUCAUAGGCGAAGUCACUGGCAGCAGAGAACUGGAAGGAAAGGUGGCCAAAGGAGGAGUUGCUAUGGGGAUGACCAUAGCAAACACCUAAUCAUCAGUCCUCGUGAUGAGACCGUAUUACCUGGAUUGUGUUCAUUAGUCAACAAAUGGAAGAAAACAGACUGAAACAGGGAGGGACUACCUGGACUUGUCCAAAAAUAAAUGCUCAUUGUAACGUUUCGUUGUAAAACGUUUUGCUACGUUUUGCCCUAAUCAAUACAGCCCUGUAAACUGUUAGCACCACAGUUUCCCGGGAUGGUAUUUUUCUGCCAACUUCCUUGUGCUGCCUUUUUACCUUUGGGUAAUGUUUUAUUAGACAUUGGAUCGUCAAAUCAUCCUCUGAAUGAUCUGACCCCUUUUUUUUUUCAAUUUUCACCUAAAAUGACAUACCCAAAUCUAACUGCCUGUAGGAAGGAUAGUGCAACAGCUAACCUCAAAGGUUCUUAUGAUCAAAGGGACCAACUGAUAGCUAAAGAAGUAAAGUAAGGAAGUAAAUAGAGAGUAAUCUACUGUAUGUGCUUUAGAAGUGGUUUGAACAGUACUUUUUUGAUGACAUUGAUGGCAGUGGGAGUUUACUUGC
RNAcentral lists this long non-coding RNA (992 nucleotides) under Salmo salar (Atlantic salmon). RNAcentral's name for it is "lncRNA (ENSSSAG00000112944.1)". The record is from RNAcentral. Lineage: Eukaryota; Metazoa; Chordata; Actinopteri; Salmoniformes; Salmonidae.